CAGCCGCCGCGGUAAAACGGAGGGGGCUAGCGUUGUUCGGAAUUACUGGGCGUAAAGCGCACGUAGGCGGCUUUGUAAGUUAGAGGUGAAAGCCCGGAGCUCAACUCCGGAAUUGCCUUUAAGACUGCAGAGCUAGCAGGUGAGAGAGGUGAGUGGAAUUCCGAGUGUAGAGGUGAAAUUCGUAGAUAUUCGGAAGAACACCAGUGGCGAAGGCGGCUCACUGGCUCAUACUGGACGCUGAGGUGCGAAAGCGUGGGGAGCAAACAGGAUUAGAUACCCGCGUAGUCCCUGUCUCUUAUAC
RNAcentral lists this ribosomal RNA (301 nucleotides) under uncultured bacterium. RNAcentral's name for it is "partial 16S ribosomal RNA". It matches the Rfam family "Bacterial small subunit ribosomal RNA", at positions 509 to 807 of the family's 1533-position model. The record is from RNAcentral.